This is a non-coding RNA of Brachypodium distachyon (stiff brome), 136 nucleotides long. NCBI's taxonomy places the organism in Eukaryota, Viridiplantae, Streptophyta, Magnoliopsida, Poales, Poaceae. The record is from Rfam.
AUUCUACUCCCUCCGUCCAACAAAAGAUGUCUCAAUUUUGAUCAAAUUUGAAUGCAUCCAUACACUAAGUCAUGUCUAGAUACAUCUAAAUUUAGACAAACUUUAGACAUCUUUUGUUGGACGGAGGAAAUACAUG